GGUUAUAGAUCAGUGGUAGAGCGCUCGCCUAGCACGCAUGAGGUACUGGGUUCAAUCCUCAGCACCA
Molecule: transfer RNA, 67 nt
Filed under: Marmota monax (woodchuck)
Lineage: Eukaryota; Metazoa; Chordata; Mammalia; Rodentia; Sciuridae
Description: tRNA.Ala
Source: RNAcentral